CCUACGGGGGGCUGCAGUGGGGAAUUUUGGACAAUGGGGGCAACCCUGAUCCAGCCAUGCCGCGUGCGGGAAGAAGGCCUUCGGGUUGUAAACCGCUUUUGUCGGGGAAGAAAUCCUCUGGGCUAAUACCUCGGGGGCAUGACGGUACCCGGAGAAUAAGCACCGGCUAACUACGUGCCAGCAGCCGCGGUAAUACGUAGGGUGCAAGCGUUGCUCGAAGCGUGUGGGCGUGAUCUUGCAAGACACGUGUGAAAUCCCCGGGCUCAACCUGGGAACUGCAUUUGUGACUGCAAGGCUGGAGUGCGGCAGAGGGGGAUGGAAUGCCGCGUGUAGCAGUGAAAUGCGUAGAUAUGCGGAGGAACACCGAUGGCGAAGGCAAUCCCCUGGGCCUGCACUGACGCUCAUGCACGAAAGCGUGGGGAGCAAACAGGAUUAGAUACCCCUGUAGUC
RNAcentral lists this ribosomal RNA (450 nucleotides) under uncultured bacterium. Its description in RNAcentral is "partial 16S ribosomal RNA". It matches the Rfam family "Bacterial small subunit ribosomal RNA", at positions 338 to 795 of the family's 1533-position model. The record is from RNAcentral.